UACAGAGGGUGCAAGCGUUAUUCGGAUUCACUGGGCGUAAAGGGUGCGCAGGCGGCCGGGUGUGUCGGGUGUGAAAGCUCGAGGCUCAACCUCGAAACUGCGCCCGAGACUAUUCGGCUAGAGUACUGGAGAGGGAAGCGGAAUUCACGGUGUAGCAGUGAAAUGCGUAGAUAUCGUGAGGAACACCAAUGGCGAAGGCAGCUUCCUGGACAGUUACUGACGCUCAGGCACGAAAGCGAGGGGAGCAAAAGGG
Molecule: ribosomal RNA, 253 nt
Filed under: uncultured bacterium
Lineage: Bacteria
Description: partial 16S ribosomal RNA
Rfam family: Bacterial small subunit ribosomal RNA
Source: RNAcentral